This 744-nucleotide ribosomal RNA is filed under the name Stenotrophomonas sp. 110518_136_C_F6. RNAcentral's name for it is "bacterial SSU rRNA". It matches the Rfam family "Bacterial small subunit ribosomal RNA", at positions 15 to 746 of the family's 1533-position model. The record is from RNAcentral. Lineage: Bacteria; Pseudomonadati; Pseudomonadota; Gammaproteobacteria; Lysobacterales; Lysobacteraceae.
GAUUAUGGCUCAGAGUGAACGCUGGCGGUAGGCCUAACACAUGCAAGUCGAACGGCAGCACAGUAAGAGCUUGCUCUUACGGGUGGCGAGUGGCGGACGGGUGAGGAAUACAUCGGAAUCUACUUUUUCGUGGGGGAUAACGUAGGGAAACUUACGCUAAUACCGCAUACGACCUACGGGUGAAAGCAGGGGACCUUCGGGCCUUGCGCGAUUGAAUGAGCCGAUGUCGGAUUAGCUAGUUGGCGGGGUAAAGGCCCACCAAGGCGACGAUCCGUAGCUGGUCUGAGAGGAUGAUCAGCCACACUGGAACUGAGACACGGUCCAGACUCCUACGGGAGGCAGCAGUGGGGAAUAUUGGACAAUGGGCGCAAGCCUGAUCCAGCCAUACCGCGUGGGUGAAGAAGGCCUUCGGGUUGUAAAGCCCUUUUGUUGGGAAAGAAAUCCAGCCGGCUAAUACCUGGUUGGGAUGACGGUACCCAAAGAAUAAGCACCGGCUAACUUCGUGCCAGCAGCCGCGGUAAUACGAAGGGUGCAAGCGUUACUCGGAAUUACUGGGCGUAAAGCGUGCGUAGGUGGUUGUUUAAGUCUGUUGUGAAAGCCCUGGGCUCAACCUGGGAACUGCAGUGGAAACUGGACGACUAGAGUGUGGUAGAGGGUAGCGGAAUUCCUGGUGUAGCAGUGAAAUGCGUAGAGAUCAGGAGGAACAUCCAUGGCGAAGGCAGCUACCUGGACCAACACUGACAC